Meriones unguiculatus (Mongolian gerbil) is the source of this 1933-nucleotide long non-coding RNA. RefSeq lists it as uncharacterized. The transcript has 2 exons. The record is from RefSeq and is a predicted model, not a curated record. NCBI's taxonomy places the organism in Eukaryota, Metazoa, Chordata, Mammalia, Rodentia, Muridae.
UUGCAUGCAGGCAGACGUGUUCAGCUUCUGGAAUGUGCUUUCCUGCAUCGUGUGAUGGUGGUGCUCUUAUUUACCCCUUCAUCCCCAAAUCGAGAGGCUAAAUGCAAGUGCAAGGGUGAUGGCGUCAGGAAUCUAGUGACAGAGCCCCCCAGAAUGUGAAUCACUGAAGAUAACCCUAUCUCUAUCCACUUGGGUUUGAUACCAAGAUGAAAUGCUCUGUGUGCUUGCUUCAAGGGACAAGACAUCUGGGAAUGGAGCUGGACAGAGAAUGUCCGAGGGCCGGGAAGUGCUAGGAGUCUCCUGGCUAGCAAAGGGUCAGGGGCAGGCUGACAGGAGAAGCUGAAAUAGUGAAGUCAUUAUUCUGCCCCUGCUGCGCCUGCUUUCCCUUUGAUCUCACUGAACAUAACUGGAUUUUUCUUCCAGAGACACCAAAGAGAAAGCACCCUGGAGGGAAUGUUUGAGAAGAAGAGAGACCGGUGUCACGAAAAGACACUUUUGGCCCAGAAAAUAUGAGUAAAACACAUUCGAAGAGAACACUAACAGACGAAAAGGGAAGUUAUAAGAUGUAUUGAGUUAAAGCUGUCUGUCUUGGUGCUAAGAGGACAUUACUUAAGGACAUAACUUUGUUCCCUUUCUUCAGUAAACCGGGUGCUGUAAUUCACACAAUUACAAGGGAGCUCCUUUGGCUUAAAGCUGUCCGGAAUGGCGUCCCUAACACCAACUUUAGUCAGUGGCGUCUAUUCCGAGAAGCAGUUUUGGUAGGAAUGACAACAGUGACUUCCAAUGUCAGGUAUUUUUGCAUAUCUCAGGUAGUCUUCAGACCUCUCCUGCAUGGAAGCGUAUUAUUAUACGAAUCUGAAGGAUUGACAAACUGGGUUUCAGAAAGAAAAGAAAAAGAAGUAUCUUGGCCCCUGACAAUUUUCCUGGCAGAGUCUUCCUACGUAGUCUUGUCUGAUCUGGAACUCUGUGUACGGCAGCACGGCCUUAAACUCACGGAAACCUGCCUGCCUGUACCUCCUAAGCACUGGGAUUACAGGAGUGCACCACCACACUUGGCAGCAAGUGCUCUGCAUCGCUGACCCCAUUUCUCCAGCCUCGCUCUGGAUGUUAAGAAUCUUUGUCGCGGGGUCACCCACCGCGCUUCAAGCAGCAGCCCCCGCUCAGGACGGUGUGCUGACCCUCAGGACACAAGGACGCACCUUUCACUUGCACGAAGUCCAGCUGAUGAAUGGACUGCAGCAGAGGGCCGUUGUCCAGGCUCAGGUCCAAGUCCGUGGUCAUUCUGGGGGUGAGCGCGCCUUUGCCCCACUGGCCCUCAGUUAGGUGAACCCGCCUUAUGAGGGCAUCUGAAAUCUAACCACAAAGACCACAUCCUAAGAAACACAGAGGCAUCUUCCAACCACAACACUGCUGCUGGACGCUUUGUGGGUGUUAACACCAAAUCAUGAGGACCUCAAGCUCUUGCCAUCUCAGCGUGCGCGGUGAGAAAGGCUGUAUCAUGACUGGGGUAGCCCACAGUUUCUGAACCAAAGCUGAACAUUUUUUUUUUUUUCUUGAGUCACAAGGAGGGCACUAGAAAUAAUUAGCAGCUGUUAAAUGACUCAUGCUCAUACAUUUAUGACUAAAAUUCCAAAUGCUGUCAACUCUGGAAAAUAUGAUACACAUUGGAAACCCGUUCAUCCUAUAGAAUCAACAGCUCUACCCUUCUGUCUCAAGGUGUGGGCAGCCAGACAAAAUCCAGGAAUGAGGUCCGCAAGCCAGAAAGGCUGCUCCGUGUCCUCUUACAUCUUCGUGUGACUGUCCCUUGAUUCUUGGGAAAAGACCUCUUUCAUUUCUCACACUCAGCCCCAUCUGUCUCUCUCAUCUGGUUGCAGAAAGUGCACUGGAAAAAAAAAAAUCUACAUGUCCAAAAAAAAAAAAAAAAAAAGCUCCC